CGUGGGAUCAGACCCGAAACCAGGUGAUCUAGCCAUGAGCAGGAUGAAGGUUGGGUAACACCAACUGGAGGUCCGAACCAACACCCCGUUGAAAAGGGUCUGGAUGACUUGUGGCUAGGGGGUGAAAAGGCUAAUCAAAACCUGGAGAUAGCUGGUUCUCCGCCGAAAGCUAUUUAGGUACGCGCCUCGGACGAAUACCAUCGGGGGUAGAGCACUGCAUGGAUGAUGGGGGCCCACAGCCUUACUGAGUCUAAGCAAACUCCGAAUACCGAUGAGUACUAUCCGGGAGACACACGGCGGGUGCUAACGUCCGUCGUGAAGAGGGUAAACAACCCUGACCUGCAGCUAAGGCCCCUAAUUCGUGGCUAAGUGGGAAAAGCAUGUGGGACGGCCAAAACAACCAGGAUGUUGGCUUAGAAGCAGCCAUCAUUUAAAGAUAGCGUAACAGCUCACUGGUCUAGAUAAGCUGUCCUGCGGCGAAGAUGUAACGGGG
Molecule: ribosomal RNA, 493 nt
Filed under: uncultured bacterium
Lineage: Bacteria
Description: bacterial LSU rRNA
Rfam family: Bacterial large subunit ribosomal RNA
Source: RNAcentral